UACGAAGGGGGCUAGCGUUGUUCGGAAUUACUGGGCGUAAAGCGCGCGCAGGCGGUCCUUUAAGUCGGGGGUGAAAGCCCAGAGCUCAACUCUGGAACUGCCUUCGAAACUAGAGGACUUGGGUACGGGAGAGGUGAGUGGAAUUCCGAGUGUAGAGGUGAAAUUCGUAGAUAUUCGGAAGAACACCAGUGGCGAAGGCGGCUCACUGGCCCGUUACCGACGCUCAGGCGCGACAGCGUGGGGAGCGAACAGG
RNAcentral lists this ribosomal RNA (253 nucleotides) under uncultured bacterium. Its description in RNAcentral is "partial 16S ribosomal RNA". It matches the Rfam family "Bacterial small subunit ribosomal RNA", at positions 524 to 776 of the family's 1533-position model. The record is from RNAcentral.